RNAcentral lists this ribosomal RNA (48 nucleotides) under Colletotrichum gloeosporioides. Its description in RNAcentral is "partial 18S ribosomal RNA". The record is from RNAcentral. Lineage: Eukaryota; Fungi; Ascomycota; Sordariomycetes; Glomerellales; Glomerellaceae.
AUCGUAACAAGGUNUCCGUNGGUGAACCAGCGGAGGGAUCAUUACUGA